CUACGGGAUGCUCCAGUGAGGAAUAUUGCACAAUGGGGGGAACCCUGAUGCAGCAACGCCGCGUGGAGGAUGACACUUUUCGGAGCGUAAACUCCUUUUAUAUAGGAAGAAGAUGACGGUACUAUAUGAAUAAGCGCCGGCUAACUCCGUGCCAGCAGCCGCGGUAAUACGGAGGGCGCAAGCGUUACUCGGAAUCACUGGGCGUAAAGAGCGUGUAGGCGGAUUAAAAAGUCAGAAGUGAAAUCCUAUAGCUUAACUAUAGAACUGCUUCUGAAACUCUUAAUCUAGAAUAUGGGAGAGGUAGAUGGGAUUUCUGGUGUAGGGGUAAAAUCCGUAGAGAUCAGAAGGAAUACCGAUUGCGAAGGCGAUCUACUAGAACAAUAUUGACACUGAGACGCGAAAGCGUGGGGAGCAAACAGGAUUAGAUACCCCGGUAGUC
This 439-nucleotide ribosomal RNA is filed under the name uncultured bacterium. RNAcentral describes it as "partial 16S ribosomal RNA". It matches the Rfam family "Bacterial small subunit ribosomal RNA", at positions 339 to 795 of the family's 1533-position model. The record is from RNAcentral.